CACCUGCGAGCGAGCGAGCGGGACACCCCGUCAGCGCCCGCACCGCACCACGGGCACCCAGGCACACCCCCCCAACUCCAUGCACCCCCCGCCCAGGCACAGACACAGACACCCAGACACAACACCACCACCCCCCCCGCAGGCACACACACAACUCCAGGCACCCUUCCCCCAGGCACACACGCACACACUUAGACAUACACACACGCUCACACAUCCCCAGACACCCCCUAGACACACACACACCCCACACACAUACUCAAACACCCCCAGACACCGCCCCCCCGAUACAUACACACACCGUGCCCCCCCCACACCCCUCCCUAGACCUACACACACACACACUCGGACCCCCCCCAACCCAGAUACAGACAUAUCCCCCACACACAGUCACCCCCCUAGACAUACACACCCCUCACACACACACACUCAGACACCCCCUAGACAUACACGAACAGAUACACACCCCUGCAGACACACACAGAUGCACACCCCCACACCCAUCCCCCAAACAUACACCCCCCAGAUACAACCCCCACAUACCCCAUACUCCCCACACACCCCUCCCUAGACAGACACCCCCCCACACGCACACCCAGAUACACACAUACACAAACAUACCCCCACACACGGACACCCCCCCCCACACACACACACACUCGGACACCUCACAGACACCCCCCCCACACACACACACAGACACUGACACCACCCCAGACAUACAUACACACACAUCCCAUACCCCUUCUUAGACAUACACACCCUCAUACACACUCGGGCACCCCCCCGACACACACAUACACAAACACCCCCCACAUACCCCCAUUUCCCCCCACAGACACCCCCCCUAGACAUACACCCCACACACACUCAGAAGCCCCCCCAAACACCCCCCCACAGACACGUUCCAGACAUACACCCCCUCACACGGCCCCCAGAUACCCGCACCCCCUCCCAGAUGCACCCCCAAGCCCUCCCCUAGACACACCCCCCUCAGACACGCAGCCCCCCCCCCCGCAUACGCACCUCCCCAGACACACUUGCACACACACCGCUGCCCCCCCCCCGGGCACGCACAGGGGCAGCAGGGGGGCUGCGGGGCGACUCGUGGCCGGGGCUGGCAGAGUUGAGCGGGGAGGGGGCAGGGAAGGACCCGGCCGGGAGCGGGGCACGAGCCGGGCAGCAGCCCCCCGCGCCCGGGGACAGGCGGCUCCAUCAGGUGACGGCGUCGGGAUCAUUUGUUACAUGAAGAGCAACAUCCAGAGUAUCAGCAUUGCUUACAGCCACACCGUGCAGUUUUCCUCCACAAGUGAGAUGAAUAAACACAUCCAAGGUAGCUCGAGGAAGGUAAAAGAGCAAGAAGAAGAGAGCUAGGCUCUCCCUUGGAAGCAGAGCUUUCUCCCUCUGCUAUGGUGCUGUGGGAACUUGUUUCCUUCACCAAGGUUUGUAACUGAGUUAAAAGAAAUCCUCCAAAAAUAUCAGGAUCCAGUCUCUGGGAGGAGCUUCUGAGUCCCUUGCAGCCAAUAUCCUUCUGCCCAUUUGUGCCUGACAGUUUUGUACGGAAAGGGAAGACUGUGGCUCGGUAACACUCCUUGGUCAGCAGAGGAGCUGCAAAACGUUUGUAACCGACGCCUCUGAAGGCUUUGAAAACACUGCCAGAGCCUCACUGCAGUCCUGUGCCAUACCUUAGCUGCUGAAGGGGGUCCAUUUUAUUUUGCAGUAUUUCUUGAUUGGCAUUUGUACAUUUUUUUUUUUGCUUGCUUCCUUCAAAAACAGAAGAAGGAAAACAAUAACAAAUAAACAAUAAAAAACCCUUGUUGCUUCCACUGCAGUUAUUGGUUAGUUGCCAAUCCUCAGGGCUUUCACGAAGGUGAUUUUGCAAGCCUGCCAAAUUCUGUUCAAGUAAGUAUGAAAGGGAAGCAAGCUGGGAUGUUUUGCCCCUUCUACCUCAAUCAAUGCUAUUUCUUUCCCUCUUGUAAUUUUAGGUAUACUGAUUUAAUUUGCAAUCAAGGCUUAUUAAAUGAUUUGUUAACAAUAA
Long non-coding RNA from Alligator mississippiensis (American alligator), 2038 nucleotides. RefSeq lists it as uncharacterized. The transcript is spliced from 2 exons. NCBI's taxonomy places the organism in Eukaryota, Metazoa, Chordata, Crocodylia, Alligatoridae. The record is from RefSeq and is a predicted model, not a curated record.